RNAcentral lists this ribosomal RNA (305 nucleotides) under uncultured bacterium. RNAcentral describes it as "bacterial SSU rRNA". It matches the Rfam family "Bacterial small subunit ribosomal RNA", at positions 333 to 653 of the family's 1533-position model. The record is from RNAcentral.
CGGCCCCUACGGGAGGCAGCAGUGGGGAAUAUUGGGCAAUGGGCGCAAGCCUGACCCAGCAACGCCGCGUGAAGGAAGAAGGCUUUCGGGUUGUAAACUCCUUUUGACAGGGAAGAGUAGAAGACGGUACCUGUCGAAUAAGCCACGGCUAACUACGUGCCAGCAGCCGCGGUAAUACGUAGGUGGCAAGCGUUGUCCGGAUUUACUGGGUGUAAAGGGCGUGUAGCCGGAUUGACGAGUCAGAUGUGAAAUCCUGCGGCUUAACCCCAGACCUGCAUUUGAAACUGUUGAUCUUGAGUACUGGG